UGACCUGAACCAAAAUGAAGAGUGGGGACACUCAACCAGCUGAACUACCCUGGCACCCCUGUAGCUUGUGGCUUGUAAGACAGCUUUUCCGAGAACUGAUGACUCUUAAACAGGUACUUGCAAAGGCAGACCUGCUCAGCCACUGAGAAAACUGGGAUGCUGUACAAGAAACACGUUCAUUCGCGUAUCUACUGGCUUAAUACAUAUUUAUUGGCAAUCUAAUAUGCACCAAACACAGUGAUAGGCCCUAGGUGAACAAAGUCUCCAUGGUAACUAACAUCAUGAAGCCCAUAAUACAAUAAGAC
This 305-nucleotide long non-coding RNA is filed under the name Suricata suricatta (meerkat). RNAcentral describes it as "lncRNA (ENSSSUG00005015151.1)". The record is from RNAcentral. Lineage: Eukaryota; Metazoa; Chordata; Mammalia; Carnivora; Herpestidae.